Molecule: long non-coding RNA, 101 nt
Organism: Ipomoea triloba (trilobed morning glory)
Lineage: Eukaryota; Viridiplantae; Streptophyta; Magnoliopsida; Solanales; Convolvulaceae
Exons: 2
Source: RefSeq, a predicted model, not a curated record
GAAUGUGCCAAGAAGGAGAAGAAUUUAAUAGUUCCAACUGUAGCAGAUUUGCAGCUUCCAGAUGAUAUAGAGUGGAGUUUCAUUGGGAAUUUAUAGAGAAA